This 419-nucleotide ribosomal RNA is filed under the name uncultured bacterium. RNAcentral describes it as "bacterial SSU rRNA". It matches the Rfam family "Bacterial small subunit ribosomal RNA", at positions 355 to 791 of the family's 1533-position model. The record is from RNAcentral.
UGGGGAAUAUUGCACAAUGGGGGAAACCCUGAUGCAGCGACGCCGCGUGGAGGAAGAAGGCCUUCGGGUUGUAAACUCCUGUCGUAAGGGACGAUAGUGACGGUACCUUACAAGAAAGCCACGGCUAACUACGUGCCAGCAGCCGCGGUAAAACGUAGGUGGCAAGCGUUGUCCGGAAUUACUGGGUGUAAAGGGAGCGCAGGCGGGUCUGCAAGUUGGAAGUGAAACCCAUGGGCUCAACCCAUGAACUGCUUUCAAAACUGCGGAUCUUGAGUGGUGUAGAGGUAGGCGGAAUUCCCGGUGUAGCGGUGGAAUGCGUAGAUAUCGGGAGGAACACCAGUGGCGAAGGCGGCCUACUGGGCACUAACUGACGCUGAGGCUCGAAAGCAUGAGUAGCAAACAGGAUUAGAUACCCCAGU